RNAcentral lists this ribosomal RNA (403 nucleotides) under Verrucomicrobiota bacterium. RNAcentral's name for it is "Verrucomicrobia bacterium partial 16S ribosomal RNA". It matches the Rfam family "Bacterial small subunit ribosomal RNA", at positions 355 to 776 of the family's 1533-position model. The record is from RNAcentral. Lineage: Bacteria; Pseudomonadati; Verrucomicrobiota.
UGGGGAAUAUUGCACAAUGGGCGCAAGCCUGAUGCAGCAACGCCGCGUGAACGAUGAAGGUCUUCGGAUCGUAAAGUUCUGUUGCAGGGGAAGAUAAUGACGGUACCCUGUGAGGAAGCCCCGGCUAACUACGUGCCAGCAGCCGCGGUAAUACGUAGGGGGCUAGCGUUAUCCGGAUUUACUGGGCGUAAAGGGUGCGUAGGUGGUCUUUCAAGUCGGUGGUUAAAGGCUACGGCUCAACCGUAGUUAGCCUCCGAAACUGGAAGUCUUGAGUGCAGGAGAGGAAAGUGGAAUUCCCAGUGUAGCUGUGAAAUGCGUAGAUAUUGGGAGGAACACCAGUAGCGAAGGCGGCUUUCUGGACUGCAACUGACACUGAGGCACGAAAGCGUGGGUAGCAAACAGG